CAGCAGCCACGGGAAUACAGAGGGUGCGAGCGUUAAUCGGAUUUACUGGGCGUAAAGCGUGCGUAGGCGGCUUCUUAAGUCGGAUGUGAAAUCCCUGAGCUUAACUUAGGAAUUGCAUUCGAUACUGGGAAGCUAGAGUAUGGGAGAGGAUGGUAGAAUUCCAGGUGUAGCGGUGAAAUGCGUAGAGAUCUGGAGGAAUACCGAUGGCGAAGGCGGCCCCCUGGACAAAGACUGACGCUCAGGUGCGAAAGCGUGGGGAGCAAACAGGAUUAGAUACCCCUGUAGUCCCUGUCUCUUAUAC
This 301-nucleotide ribosomal RNA is filed under the name uncultured bacterium. RNAcentral describes it as "partial 16S ribosomal RNA". It matches the Rfam family "Bacterial small subunit ribosomal RNA", at positions 509 to 807 of the family's 1533-position model. The record is from RNAcentral.